This 431-nucleotide ribosomal RNA is filed under the name uncultured bacterium. RNAcentral's name for it is "bacterial SSU rRNA". It matches the Rfam family "Bacterial small subunit ribosomal RNA", at positions 28 to 487 of the family's 1533-position model. The record is from RNAcentral.
GAUGAACGCUGGCGGCGUGCCUAACACAUGCAAGUCGAGCGAUUCUCUUCGGAGAAGAGCGGCGGACGGGUGAGUAACGCGUGGGUAACCUGCCCUGUACACACGGAUAACAUACCGAAAGGUAUGCUAAUACGAGAUAAUAUGCUUUUAUCGCAUGGUAGAAGUAUCAAAGCUCCGGCGGUACAGGAUGGACCCGCGUCUGAUUAGCUAGUUGGUAAGGUAGCGGCUUACCAAGGCGACGAUCAGUAGCCGACCUGAGAGGGUGAUCGGCCACAUUGGAACUGAGACACGGUCCAAACUCCUACGGGAGGCAGCAGUGGGGAAUAUUGCACAAUGGGCGAAAGCCUGAUGCAGCAACGCCGCGUGAGCGAUGAAGGCCUUCGGUCGUAAAGCUCUGUCCUCAAGGAAGAUAAUGGCGGUACUUGAGGAGG